AGAGUUUGAUCCUGGCUCAGAAUCAACGCUGGCGGCGUGCCUAAUACAUGCAAGUCGUACGCGAAGACCCCGCAAGGGGUUGUUAGCGUGGCAAACGGGUGAGUAACGCGUGGGCGACCUACCUCAGAGUGGGGGAUAACCUUCCGAAAGGAGGGCUAAUACCGCAUGACAUGCUCUGUUUAGAUACAGGGACAUCAAAGCCGGGGAUCGCAAGACCUGGCGCUUGGAGAGGGGCCUACGUCCGAUUAGCUAGUUGGUGGGGUAACGGCUCACCAAGGCGACGAUCGGUAUCCGGCCUGAGAGGGCGGACGGACACACUGGGACUGAGACACGGCCCAGACUCCUACGGGAGGCAGCAGUAGGGAAUUGUUCGCAAUGGGCGCAAGCCUGACGACGCAACGCCGCGUGGAGGAUGAAGGACUUCGGUCCGUAAACUCCUUUCGACCGAGAUGAACAGCUUUUGACCUAAUACGUCGAGAGCCUGACAGUAUCGAGGGAAGCAGCCCCGGCUAACUCCGUGCCAGCCGCCGCGGUAAUAC
This 539-nucleotide ribosomal RNA is filed under the name uncultured bacterium. RNAcentral describes it as "bacterial SSU rRNA". It matches the Rfam family "Bacterial small subunit ribosomal RNA", at positions 8 to 526 of the family's 1533-position model. The record is from RNAcentral.